AGAGAAUAUCCUGUUUGUUG
This 20-nucleotide unclassified non-coding RNA is filed under the name Mus musculus (house mouse). RNAcentral's name for it is "oocyte_clustered_small_RNA908". The record is from RNAcentral. Lineage: Eukaryota; Metazoa; Chordata; Mammalia; Rodentia; Muridae.